UAGGCUAUUUUACUGAGUCUGACAAAAACUAAUCGAUUUAAAUGCAGUAGCUUAUUUAGGCAGACAACUGCAUCUUUACAUGACAAACUUUUACUGUACUGUGAGGCGGUCUGUUUAAACUGUCAGUGCUCAGGUGUUGCUGUUAUCAGCGAUUAAGCUCUCUGCACCAAACUCCACUUUAACCUGGAAGCUGAUUUUUUUUUUUCUGUCCUGUGACCAUGGCAACUCUAUUUCCAAAGGAUUUAUUGUUGCUGAGAUGCCCGACACAACACCGGGAAUCACUUAAGGGUUUCCUCUUAAUUAUGAAAGGAGGUUUUCCAGAGGUAUUUGGGUCAGUUUGACUUGAAUUGAAGGCUGAGGAGGAAGGCUUAGUGGCUGCCAGAAAAGAGACAUGACUACAGACAGCUAAUACACCGGUCACUAAAGUCCGGUGUUCUGCAGGGUUGCGAGACAAAAGCGGGAGUGAGGGUACACUCACUGGCAUGGCAUUGUUGACAGUAGUGUUGUACACACAGGAACGCAUUGUGUACUCCGCAAG
Long non-coding RNA from Siniperca chuatsi (mandarin fish), 538 nucleotides. RefSeq lists it as uncharacterized. The record is from RefSeq and is a predicted model, not a curated record. The transcript has 3 exons. NCBI's taxonomy places the organism in Eukaryota, Metazoa, Chordata, Actinopteri, Centrarchiformes, Sinipercidae.